ACGGGUGAGUAACGCGUGGGAAUCUACCGUACCCUACGGAAUAGCUCUGGGAAACUGGAAGUAAUACCGUAUACGCCCUAACGGGGAAAGAUUUAUCGGGGUAUGAUGAGCCCGCGUUGGAUUAGCUAGUUGGUGGGGUAAAGGCCUACCAAGGCGACGAUCCAUAGCUGGUCUGAGAGGAUGAUCAGCCACAUUGGGACUGAGACACGGCCCAAACUCCUACGGGAGGCAGCAGUGGGGAAUAUUGGACAAUGGGGGCAACCCUGAUCCAGCCAUGCCGCGUGAGUGAUGAAGGUCUUAGGAUUGUAAAGCUCUUUCAACGGUGAAGAUAAUGACGGUAACCGUAGAAGAAGCCCUGGCUAACUUCGUGCCAGCAGCCGCGGUAAUACGAAGGGGGCUAGCGUUGUUCGGAAUUACUGGGCGUAAAGCGCACGUAGGCGGGUAUUUAAGUCAGGGGUGAAAUCCCGCAGCUCAACUGCGGAACUGCCUUUGAUACUGGGUAUCUUGAGUAUGGAAGAGGUAAGUGGAAUUGCGAGUGUAGAGGUGAAAUUCGUAGA
RNAcentral lists this ribosomal RNA (557 nucleotides) under uncultured bacterium. RNAcentral describes it as "bacterial SSU rRNA". It matches the Rfam family "Bacterial small subunit ribosomal RNA", at positions 102 to 694 of the family's 1533-position model. The record is from RNAcentral.